UCACUAGCUCAAACCCCACCCUUGGAAGCCCUGAUCCAUCCAUUCCGAGCAGGAGGUUGUAUUCUGAUGUGAACAUGGAGAGAAUCGAAGCUGCAACCGAGUGGGUCGAACUGUUUCAAGUGCUCCUGACUACUGAGACAACAACGUGACAAAAAUCAAUCUUACAAUUUGCUAACAGUCAUCUAACAGGAUCAAAGGAGAGAAGAAAGUAGUGCUAACAAGACUGCCUUACGACCUGGAUUUCAGGAUGGCGAGACCUAACGCUUUACUGUUGAGUGUGGUGCCUACUACAUACAGCAGGAUUCCUACCGAUAGCGACCUGUAACAAUAAAAACUUCAGCUCCAGCCUCAA
This is a long non-coding RNA of Oxyura jamaicensis (ruddy duck), 352 nucleotides long. RefSeq lists it as uncharacterized. The record is from RefSeq and is a predicted model, not a curated record. The transcript is spliced from 2 exons. Lineage: Eukaryota; Metazoa; Chordata; Aves; Anseriformes; Anatidae.